GUGAUGGUGCAGAUAAAUUAAACCAGUGUCGCUAAUUUUAAUACCGGUUACUCCAAAAAAUUUCUCAAAUACACACCGAUUUGAUUUUCAAGGAGAAAUUUACAUAGGUUUGUACAGGCUAUUUAAUAUUUAAUAUUUAUAAUAUGUAUGAUGCAAAAUAUACAAAACUUAACACCGAUGUAAUUUUGUCUUGAAACCGAAAAAAUUUCAAAACAUUUUCAUAUAUAAAUAUAGGUAGGUAAUAAUCACAAUAUUGCAAUUAUAGUAGGUAGGUCUUGUAUGUACUAUAUUAGGUACGUACCUAACCUACCUAUAUUAUUUAACAAAAUACAUAAUAAAUCUAGGAUGAAAAGUACAAAAAAGAAGACCGUAUUAUUUUUAACCAUAUACCUACAUUUUUUACAUUUUUCCUUAGUUUUUUCAGUUUUUUACAUUUGAUGAGAAAAUCAAAAAAUGACCUCCUUAAAGUACCAACCUCUCCUUUCAGAUUUCCUUUCAGAAAAAGUGCUACACUCAUAAAUCGGAGCAAGAUCACUGGUAAAAAAGUUGUACACAAAAAAAAAAAAAAUAAACAUAUUUUUAAAACCAUAAGCUUUUUCGCUCCACUCGAAUCUAAAAGUCCGUACUUAUUUUUUUAUUGCCGGACAAAAAUCGAGCACAUUUUUACAUUGUACAAAAAUACAAAUAAUAAUUUAAAACAAGUUACUUAUGUUUUGAAAAAUAGUCAAUAUACUUACCUAGAUACCCAAUUAUAGUAAAUUUCUGUUGUAUUUUUGUUGGAUAUAAAUAUCUAGGUAAUUGAAAAAUAAUCGGUUUAUUUAUCUACAUCGUCAGUAAAAGGAAUAAAAAGAAGAUAAUUUUUAUUUUAAUAAUUUUUUUCAGAAUUUUUGUCUGACAAUAAAAAUGUGCUCAGGCUUUUUUCAAAACGGACCUUUAAUUCCUGGAUUUUUUGGCCAAUUUUUUCAAACAUUGAUUACUCGAAAGAAAAAUUAUAGAUAACUCUGUGAUAAAUCUGUUUUCUUAAUUUAAGCGAAUAAUUUUUAUAAUCAUUUAUACAUCCCAUAAUUUAACUUAAUUGCGUUUAUUGUGUUUAUUAUCAAAUUUUUCAUUUGAUAAUAAAAAUGAAAUUAAUAUUUAUUUAUUAAUAAAAUAAAAUAAUUCAUUAAUAAUUAAUAAUUUGACUACAAUACGGAUACACAUUUUAAAAACUCUUCAAGUCAAAUUAUUUUCCUAAAACCUUAAUAGGCAAGUCGAAAAAAUUGUAUUUCUCUUGAAUUUCGACUUAUCGAGGUUCCACUGUAAUGUUAUUGUUAUAUAAAUAUAUCGGUAAUGUUAAUUAAAUAUUAUGUGUGACUAUUAUAUUUUUGUUUUACAUAAUAAAAACAAUUUUCAUUAAUUCUGACUAUGAUCUUUUCCUCAAUAUUACUUAUAUAGUUUGUAUUUAAACAAUUCAACUAGUAUACUAUUUUUUUAUUAUCCAAUAAAUAAUAUCUCUUGAAAUAUUGACUAUAACAGGUUGUUCAAAAUAAAGCUGUAAAUAAUAAAAUUAAUAUUCAGCUGAUUUAAAUUUUAAAUUUACCGCCAAAAUAAGACCAAAGGCGGUUAUCUAUAGACUAUGGUUAGUACUAUGGUACACUGUCAAAAACCGGAGGCACUGUUUUCAAUAUCCUUAACUUUAACUACAGAUAAUUAUAAAUAAUUAUGUUAUCUUUGGUGGUUUCAGACAAUAGAUAUUCCACGUUUUCAAACGUGACACAUCGAUACGGUAGCUCGGGUUACAAUAACCGGUUUAGUUUGAUAAUCCGUGACUAAUGUGUUGGGUAUGUGGCGUGAGUUGCGGUCACGGCUAUAGAAAUCAAAAAUCUUCAGCCGUGGUCCCGGUACUAACAAGCCAGUUUUCGUGGUGACGACUAUAAGUUAUACAGGUUGGAAACCUAAUUGGUUGGCGGAGUGCGUGGUUUGGACCGAAUAUGCAACGUCUUGCGGUACAACGACGUCUGUUGCGCCAUCUAUUUUUACCCACCUCUACCAUAAGUUGCAUGUGAAAAAAUCAUAAACCAGUCUAUUUAUAUAAAUUAGUUUAUAGGUCUAUGGCAAAUAUCUUGUACCCUUGCGUAAUUUGUAUAAUUUUUAGAUCUAGUCCUAUUAAGUUAUCUUUUCAAAAAGGUGUUAGUUCAAAAUACACUAUCUAUUCUGUAUUAUUAUCGUUAUUAUGUUAUUGAUAUUACACCACUGAUAUUAUUACUAUGAAGUACCUAUCUAUAUCCGUGCGUAACCCAUAAUAAAACGCUACAAGUAGC
Non-coding RNA from Cinara cedri, 2300 nucleotides. Lineage: Eukaryota; Metazoa; Arthropoda; Insecta; Hemiptera; Aphididae. The record is from the annotation of a GenBank genome assembly.